GAUUAUGGAUGCAGCGGUAACUCCUCUGCAUUUGUAGUCAUCCACAUGAGAACCUUUCUCGGCCUUCACUGGUCGGUUGGGGGAUCAUGUACUUUACUUUGAAAAAAUCAGAGUGUUUCAGGCAGGCGUUUGCAUGAAUACACAAGCAUGGAAUAAUGGAAUAGGACUAGGGUCCAUUUUAUUGGUUAUUGGACCAUAGUA
This 201-nucleotide ribosomal RNA is filed under the name uncultured fungus. Its description in RNAcentral is "partial small subunit ribosomal RNA". The stretch from base 77 to 201 matches the Rfam family "Eukaryotic small subunit ribosomal RNA", at positions 735 to 864 of the family's 1831-position model. The record is from RNAcentral. Lineage: Eukaryota; Fungi.